RNAcentral lists this ribosomal RNA (1315 nucleotides) under Staphylococcus aureus. Its description in RNAcentral is "partial 23S ribosomal RNA". It matches the Rfam family "Bacterial large subunit ribosomal RNA", at positions 1557 to 2873 of the family's 2925-position model. The record is from RNAcentral. Lineage: Bacteria; Bacillati; Bacillota; Bacilli; Caryophanales; Staphylococcaceae.
UGAGCUGUGAUGGGGAGAAGACAUUGUGUCUUCGAGUCGUUGAUUUCACACUGCCGAGAAAAGCCUCUAGAUAGAAAAUAGGUGCCCGUACCGCAAACCGACACAGGUAGUCAAGAUGAGAAUUCUAAGGUGAGCGAGCGAACUCUCGUUAAGGAACUCGGCAAAAUGACCCCGUAACUUCGGGAGAAGGGGUGCUCUUUAGGGUUAACGCCCAGAAGAGCCGCAGUGAAUAGGCCCAAGCGACUGUUUAUCAAAAACACAGGUCUCUGCUAAACCGUAAGGUGAUGUAUAGGGGCUGACGCCUGCCCGGUGCUGGAAGGUUAAGAGGAGUGGUUAGCUUCUGCGAAGCUACGAAUCGAAGCCCCAGUAAACGGCGGCCGUAACUAUAACGGUCCUAAGGUAGCGAAAUUCCUUGUCGGGUAAGUUCCGACCCGCACGAAAGGCGUAACGAUUUGGGCACUGUCUCAACGAGAGACUCGGUGAAAUCAUAGUACCUGUGAAGAUGCAGGUUACCCGCGACAGGACGGAAAGACCCCGUGGAGCUUUACUGUAGCCUGAUAUUGAAAUUCGGCACAGCUUGUACAGGAUAGGUAGGAGCCUUUGAAACGUGAGCGCUAGCUUACGUGGAGGCGCUGGUGGGAUACUACCCUAGCUGUGUUGGCUUUCUAACCCGCACCACUUAUCGUGGUGGGAGACAGUGUCAGGCGGGCAGUUUGACUGGGGCGGUCGCCUCCUAAAAGGUAACGGAGGCGCUCAAAGGUUCCCUCAGAAUGGUUGGAAAUCAUUCAUAGAGUGUAAAGGCAUAAGGGAGCUUGACUGCGAGACCUACAAGUCGAGCAGGGUCGAAAGACGGACUUAGUGAUCCGGUGGUUCCGCAUGGAAGGGCCAUCGCUCAACGGAUAAAAGCUACCCCGGGGAUAACAGGCUUAUCUCCCCCAAGAGUUCACAUCGACGGGGAGGUUUGGCACCUCGAUGUCGGCUCAUCGCAUCCUGGGGCUGUAGUCGGUCCCAAGGGUUGGGCUGUUCGCCCAUUAAAGCGGUACGCGAGCUGGGUUCAGAACGUCGUGAGACAGUUCGGUCCCUAUCCGUCGUGGGCGUAGGAAAUUUGAGAGGAGCUGUCCUUAGUACGAGAGGACCGGGAUGGACAUACCUCUGGUGUACCAGUUGUCGUGCCAACGGCAUAGCUGGGUAGCUAUGUGUGGACGGGAUAAGUGCUGAAAGCAUCUAAGCAUGAAGCCCCCCUCAAGAUGAGAUUUCCCAACUUCGGUUAUAAGAUCCCUCAAAGAUGAUGAGGUUAAUAGGUUCGAGGUGGAAG